Molecule: long non-coding RNA, 992 nt
Organism: Apus apus (common swift)
Lineage: Eukaryota; Metazoa; Chordata; Aves; Apodiformes; Apodidae
Exons: 5
Source: RefSeq, a predicted model, not a curated record
AAAAGUAUGACCUGAAAACUGGUGAGCUGUUUGAGGAAAGCACUGGACUGUUCUUACAAAGCUGAUAAUUUUUGGAGCGUUCAAAGGCAGACCACCCUGGUUUACAUUUGCUAUUGUCAAAGGCAGACCAUGCUAUGGGCAGAGCGGAGCAAGACAAACACAGAGUGCGUCUGACAGUCCCCUUCAAAAAGACUAACAGAAAAACCACAGCAUCUACAGGGAACUUUUCCAAACACAGGAACAGAGGCAUGCUGGGAAGAGAAGAGCCUUAAUAUAAUAGGAGGGAACACAGAUGAUGGGAGAAUAGAAAGCUGCUGUUCUGCAAGGAGCAGUGUUGGAGGUUGUGUCCAGGCCAGGACCCAAGUGCAUGGCAAUAGUUCACUGAGGCUCUGCUAGCAAGCCUGGGAAUGACUCUGAUGCCCUCUGUGCCACGCUGCAGGUCCAGGCAGAAGGCUGCACCUUUGAGCUUUCUCAACAGGAGCGCUGCUUGCUGUUACCUCGGCUGCUGUGUCCUUAAGCCACAAACCAAAACAUUGCCAGAGUCUGGCAUCCUUCUCUAAGGUCUCCCGAGCCAUGGCUGUGAUGGCAGGACCAUUGCUUGGUGGUACCAAGCUGAAGAAAAGCUACCACUCAUCUCACUGUACAGACACAUCAGACUUUGGCUACGAACAGCAAUGACUAUCUCCAUGGCCCCACGGAGAAACGCUUAGAUAAAUAUCAUUCAAAUCAAGGAGUCUGAUGCAUGAGUCAGGACAAUGGCAGCCCUCCAAAACCUCCUUGCCCGUGGAGAGUGUGUUUGUGUGAGAAAGAUAGUUUCACUGUAUAAAGAGUAAGAAACUGGAAGCCAAGUGAAUUAAAUACAAAGCAGAUAAUUAUGUGUAAUUCAUUUACUGACUAAUGAUUGCACCUGGUAUGGGGGUUUAUGAAUUCAUUUAACUCUGCAUAGGUUCUCAGAAACAAUCUCCCUGCUACAAGAUAAAAACUAGGCUGAC